This 404-nucleotide ribosomal RNA is filed under the name uncultured prokaryote. RNAcentral describes it as "bacterial SSU rRNA". It matches the Rfam family "Bacterial small subunit ribosomal RNA", at positions 355 to 776 of the family's 1533-position model. The record is from RNAcentral. RNAcentral also lists the same sequence under 1 other name.
UGGGGAAUAUUGCACAAUGGGGGAAACCCUGAUGCAGCAACGCCGCGUGAGUGAUGAAGUAUUUCGGUAUGUAAAGCUCUAUCAGCAGGGAAGAUGAUGACGGUACCUGACUAAGAAGCUCCGGCUAAAUACGUGCCAGCAGCCGCGGUAAUACGUAUGGAGCAAGCGUUAUCCGGAUUUACUGGGUGUAAAGGGUGCGUAGGCGGUCUGGCAAGUCAGAUGUGAAAUGCCGGGGCUCAACCCCGGAGCUGCAUUUGAAACUGCUGGACUGGAGUACAGGAGAGGCAGGCGGAAUUCCUAGUGUAGCGGUGAAAUGCGUAGAUAUUAGGAAGAACACCAGUGGCGAAGGCGGCCUGCUGGACUGUUACUGACGCUGAGGCACGAAAGCGUGGGGAGCAAACAGG